This 334-nucleotide ribosomal RNA is filed under the name uncultured soil bacterium. Its description in RNAcentral is "bacterial SSU rRNA". It matches the Rfam family "Bacterial small subunit ribosomal RNA", at positions 27 to 373 of the family's 1533-position model. The record is from RNAcentral.
GGAUUGAACGCUGGCGGCAUGCCUAACACAUGCAAGUCGAACGGGAGUAGCAAUACUCUAGUGGCGGACGGGUGAGGAAUACGUAGGAAUUUGCCCUUAAGUGGGGGAUAACCCGGGGAAACCCGGAUUAAUACCGCAUGACCUCGAAAGAGCAAAGUGGGGGAUCGCAAGACCUCACGCUUUUGGAGAAGCCUACGUCGGAUUAGCUAGUUGGUGAGGUAAUGGCUCACCAAGGCGACGAUCCGUAACUGGUCUGAGAGGAUGAUCAGUCACACCGGAACUGAGACACGGUCCGGACUCCUACGGGAGCAGCAGUGGGGAAUCUUGCGCAAGU